CGCUGGCGGCGUGCUUAACACAUGCAAGUCGAACGAUGAAGCCCAGCUUGCUGGGUGGAUUAGUGGCGAACGGGUGAGUAACACGUGAGUAACCUGCCCUUAACUCUGGGAUAAGCCUGGGAAACUGGGUCUAAUACCGGAUAGGAGCGCCUACCGCAUGGUGGGUGUUGGAAAGAUUUAUCGGUUUUGGAUGGACUCGCGGCCUAUCAGCUUGUUGGUGAGGUAAUGGCUCACCAAGGCGACGACGGGUAGCCGGCCUGAGAGGGUGACCGGCCACACUGGGACUGAGACACGGCCCAGACUCCUACGGGAGGCAGCAGUGGGGAAUAUUGCACAAUGGGCGCAAGCCUGAUGCAGCGACGCCGCGUGAGGGAUGACGGCCUUCGGGUUGUAAACCUCUUUCAGUAGGGAAGAAGCGAAAGUGACGGUACCUGCAGAAGAAGCACCGGCUAACUACGUGCCAGCAGCCGCGGUAAUACGUAGGGUGCGAGCGUUAUCCGGAAUUAUUGGGCGUAAAGAGCUCGUAGGCGGUUUGUCGCGUCUGUCGUGAAAGUCCGGGGCUUAACCCCGGAUCUGCGGUGGGUACGGGCAGACUAGAGUGCAGUAGGGGAGACUGGAAUUCCUGGUGUAGCGGUGGAAUGCGCAGAUAUCAGGAGGAACACCGAUGGCGAAGGCAGGUCUCUGGGCUGUAACUGACGCUGAGGAGCGAAAGCAUGGGGAGCGAACAGGAUUAGAUACCCUGGUAGUCCAUGCCGUAAACGUUGGGCACUAGGUGUGGGGACCAUUCCACGGUUUCCGCGCCGCAGCUAACGCAUUAAGUGCCCCGC
This 827-nucleotide ribosomal RNA is filed under the name Micrococcus sp. Its description in RNAcentral is "bacterial SSU rRNA". It matches the Rfam family "Bacterial small subunit ribosomal RNA", at positions 34 to 872 of the family's 1533-position model. Lineage: Bacteria; Bacillati; Actinomycetota; Actinomycetes; Micrococcales; Micrococcaceae. The record is from RNAcentral.